RNAcentral lists this ribosomal RNA (435 nucleotides) under uncultured bacterium. RNAcentral describes it as "partial 16S ribosomal RNA". It matches the Rfam family "Bacterial small subunit ribosomal RNA", at positions 29 to 507 of the family's 1533-position model. The record is from RNAcentral.
AACGAACGCUGGCGGCAUGCCUAACACAUGCAAGUCGAACGAUUGCCUUCGGGUGAUAGCGGCGCACGGGUGCGUAACGCGUGGGAAUCUGCCCUUAGGUUCGGAAUAACAGCUGGAAACGGCUGCUAAUACCGGAUGAUAUCGCGAGAUCAAAGAUUUAUCGCCUGAGGAUGAGCCCGCGUUGGAUUAGGUAGUUGGUGGGGUAAAGGCCUACCAAGCCGACGAUCCAUAGCUGGUCUGAGAGGAUGAUCAGCCACACUGGGACUGAGACACAGCCCAGACUCCUACGGGAGGCAGCAGUGGGGAAUAUUGGACGAGGAGCGCAAGCCUGAUCCAGCAAUGCCGCGUGAGUGAUGAAGGCCCUAGGGUUGUAAAGCUCUUUUACCCGGGAAGAUAAUGACUGUACCGGGAGAAUAAGCCCCGGCUAACUCCGUG